GCUCGUGGAGCGGCCGAUAUGUGAUUAGCUAGGUGGUAGGGGAAAAGCCUACCAAGGCAUCGAUCAGUAGCUGGUCUGAGAGGACGACCAGCCACACUGGAAGUGAGACACGGUCCAGACUCCUACGGGAGGCAGCAGUGGGGAGUUUUGGACAAUGGGCGAAAGCCUGGUCCAAAAGUGCCGCGUGAGUGAAGAAGGCCUUCGGGUGUAAAUUAAUGGGUCAGGGAAGAAACGGUGAGGGCUAAUAUCUCUUGC
Molecule: ribosomal RNA, 255 nt
Filed under: uncultured bacterium
Lineage: Bacteria
Description: partial 16S ribosomal RNA
Rfam family: Bacterial small subunit ribosomal RNA
Source: RNAcentral